GACGAACGCUGGCGGCGUGCUUAACACAUGCAAGUCGAGCGGUAAGGCCCUUCGGGUACGACGAGCGGCGAACGGGUGAGUAACACGUGGGUGACCUGCCCUCAGCUCUGGGAUAAGCCUGGGAAACCGGGUCUAAUACCGGAUAUGACUCCAUGACGCAUGUUGUGGGGUGGAAAGCCUUGUGCGGCUGAGGAUGGGCCCGCGGCCUAUCAGCUUGUUGGUGGGGGAUGGCCUACCAAGGCUUCGAUCAGUAGCCGGCCUGAGAGGGUGAUCGGCCACACUGGGACUGAGACACGGCCCAGACUCCUACGGGAGGCAGCAGUGGGGAAUAUUGGACAAUGGGCGCAAGCCUGAUCCAGCAACGCCGCGUGGAGGAUGAAGGUCUUCGGAUCGUAAACUCCUGUCAGGCGGGACGAAGGUAGC
Molecule: ribosomal RNA, 423 nt
Filed under: uncultured bacterium
Lineage: Bacteria
Description: bacterial SSU rRNA
Rfam family: Bacterial small subunit ribosomal RNA
Source: RNAcentral